UACGUAGGGUGCAAGCGUUAAUCGGAAUUACUGGGCGUAAAGCGUGCGCAGGCGGUUAUAUAAGACAGUUGUGAAAUCCCUCGGCUUAACCGGGGAACUGCAUCUGAUACUGGAUGGCUUGAGUUCGGGAGAGGGAUGCGGAAUUCCAGGUGUAGCGGUGAAAUGCGUAGAUAUCUGGAGGAACACCGGUGGCGAAGGCGGCAUCCUGGACCGACACUGACGCUGAGGAGCGAAAGCCAGGGGAGCAAACGGG
This 253-nucleotide ribosomal RNA is filed under the name uncultured bacterium. RNAcentral's name for it is "partial 16S ribosomal RNA". It matches the Rfam family "Bacterial small subunit ribosomal RNA", at positions 524 to 776 of the family's 1533-position model. The record is from RNAcentral.